GGAGAUGUACUCAAGUGGUCGUAAGAGGUCGCACUCGAAAUGCGAUAGGCCCGCAAGGACGCAAGGGUUCGAAUCCCUUCAUCUCCG
Molecule: transfer RNA, 87 nt
Filed under: Lachnospiraceae bacterium
Lineage: Bacteria; Bacillati; Bacillota; Clostridia; Lachnospirales; Lachnospiraceae
Description: tRNA-Ser
Rfam family: tRNA
About the family: Transfer RNA (tRNA) molecules are approximately 80 nucleotides in length.
Source: RNAcentral